UGUUUUGAAAAUGUAAAAAAUAGAUCUUUUUAUAACAAAUUUUUUUUCUAGAAUAUAUAAUAUUAAGAAACAGAGGGAAAUGAUUUACACCAAUUGUUAUAAAUUUAAACGAAACGGAUGGCAAUCAUUUCUAGAAAACAGAGAGUUUAUAACCAUUUAUUAUAAACUGCUGGUUAAAGUCGCAAAAGUCUGCUCAACAACCAGAAAGUGUUAUAAAAAGGUGGAUUAAUUUGAUGGAAAAGUAACAAAACCAUUAUGAUUACUCUUGUAACAAAGGACAGUGGUGACGCACUAACGAGAAGUGAAAGAUGCUAAUGACAUACUAAAAUAAUGUACAUUUCAUAGUUUAAAGAACAUACGCUUUACGGAAAAAUCGAUCAAUUCACACAUCGAUAGACAAUUGCAGUUUCGAUCGGUACAUAAAUACGGAUUCGGUACUAAAACAUACAUCAACACAUAAUAUAUACAAAUUUCAUAUACAAACAAAGAUAAUUAAGUUUAUACAUACAUUGACCGUAUGUAGAUUAAAUAUAUUUUACAUUUUAAAUAAUUAAUCUCACUAUAAAAACAGCUAAACUGGAGUUUUUUUAGAGGUGCCAUAUAGGAAAAAAAAUUGAAAACCAAUCUGCCAUGUUAUCCCGGACUGGGCUUGAAAGACCAACUUUCGCAAUCUAUUAUUACUAAAUUUCAGAGUCUAUUUACACCAUUCUCAGCAUUCCAUUUUAACAGCCCAUUAUUAUUCAGAUACUAAAGGCACUAACCCAUUAUUACUCAUAUACUAAAAGCCCUAAAACAUAAUCCCUAGUUAAUUAAUACUAAAAGCUCUAAAACAUAUAAUUCCUUAAAAACUAAAGAUCACUCAUCCUCACCCUAACCCUAAUCACCGACUCCAUCUCAUCGUGAUUCUCUUCAUCUUCAACUUAAAUAUUAUCAUUUUUGAAUGAAAACAUUAUUAUUAUUGAAAUAUUAAUUAUUUAUCCUAAACUCUAAUAAACAAAAUAUACAAGUUGUUAAUGCACUCUAUUGUUUGCAAAAAAGUUUUUCAUAUUAUUUCCCUUUUUCAUUUAAUGCACAAAUACAAAUGUAGAUUUUUCUUUUAUCUAGAAGAUGUUUUUUAAUUUAACAUACAAAUUAUAAACCGUUUGACCAUCUUUAUCAUAAAUUUGGUUAUAUAUAUAUAUAUUUAGUUUUAAUAUAUUAUUCAUUAUUUACAUCUUAUUAGUUUUAAACCAUACAAAAACAUAUAUUAAUUGCAUAUUUUAAAACUUACUUUAUAUUUUAAAACGAUUAAAGUCACAAUGACCAAUUAUUUUCCAGCACCACCAAAAACUCGAAAAAUCCUAUACAACCGAAAUUUUAUUUCCAUAUAUUAUUAAAUUUUAUUUGUUUAUAAUAUGUUAUAAAAACAAAACAAAAACAAAAUUGUGAUAAAGAAGGAAAGUUUUGAUAGAAUGACCAAAAUGUUUCAUUUAAUAGGUAAAAUGACCCUUAUACCCUAGAUAUAUAAAAUUUAAUUAAAAAUAUUAAAAAACAUUAAAAUAAAAAAAUAAUUAAGUAAUAGUCUUAGAUUAUACGUUUUCAAAAUACAAUUUUUUUAAAUAAUUUUUUUACUUGAUUUUUUAAUUGCUAUUUUUCUCUAUUUUUGUUUUCAAUUUAUCUUUUUGUAAUUCUAGCCGAAGUUCACAACAAGUGGAGCGACAACCUCGGACAUCAACCAAUUAUCGCUAGGAUCAUUAGGAUGUGUCCCAUCACAAAUCACACAAAUAAAAAUGCUUUCCUAAGAACAACUUUCAUUUAUCUAGACAUAUAGGUUUGUCUAAAAAAUACUUACUUUUAAUUAUUCCAACAACAUUUCAAAUAAUUGCUUUUAACCACUCAACAAGAACAAAAAAUGGAAGGGCGGGUGCCUAUUUCUACGUCUGACACAAUGUACCAACGGUUCGAGGAAGGGAAAAUUUAUCACAUUAGAUAUUUUAAUCUUCUUCCCAAUAACCGACGGUACAUGCUUACCGUUCAACCAUACAUAAUCAAUAUCAAUGAGACAACAAUUAUAACACUGAUUCAAGAAAACAUUUCACCAGAUCCUUCAUACAUUUUCCGGCCCCAACGCUAUCCCCAGUUGUUCAGCUUAGCAAGUGCAACCAACUUCCUUCCAGGUCAAAAAAAACCCAUACCUAUCACACAUACAAAUAAAUUCUCUAUUUUUUAACAAAUUAUUCCCACAGAUGUUGUUGGCCGCAUAUGCCUCUUCCAAGGAAGUGAUUUAUAUAACCACAACACAGAUACAAAAAUCAUUAUUGGAUUGCGUUAAGCAAUAAAUAUAUAAUACAAUAUUUUUUUGUAGAUCCAAAUUGGUCCGUCUAACUAUAUGGGACAAUGAGACGGCCAAUUUCAGAGAGUUAAAUCACAUAUCUACCAGGAAAAACUAAAUCGUAAUCAUCAUAAAUAUCAUUCCAAGGUUAUAUGAAGGUAAUCAACUAAACAUAAGGUUUAUGUCUAACUAAAUGCUUACAAAUAUUUCACUUUUCAGGGAAACUAUCACUCACAACCACACCAGGAUCGCGCUUUUACUUUGACAACGACAUAGAUAUCAUACAACGCUUUCAAAAGAGGAAUAAACUGCUAUCCUAAGCCUGAUGGCAUACCUCCACAUGGGAUCAAACCACAAGACGGAAACCGACACGAGUCAACUGUUUUAAAAUUUAAAUUUCAAUGCAAACAACCAUAUAUUUUUCAAACUUACUAUUGUUUAGAAAACAGAAACUGAUCACCGCAUCUCAUUCAAACAAAAACUCUAUGGUUAAUUCUACAACGAACCUAGGUUCAAUAUCUGAUACUUAAAACUACAAAAAUAUAAAAAUUUACUUUAAUAAAACAUAUUAUCCCCGCGGACCCCGGCUCUAGUAAAAAAUAAUAAAAUUAAUUUUUAAUCUGUCCAUAGGAAUCAAACCUAGGUUCAAACAAAAUUAAACCAUAUGCUCAACCACUGUACCAAAUCAGAUUAUUGGUUUUGUUAUCUUUGUGUCAUAUUUAUAUCUAAUAUGUUUUAUUCAUAUAUUUCUAAUGAUCUAGAAUUAGUUCCACGAAUAUAUAAAUUCUAAGUAAUUGUGAUUAAUUAACUUAAUUAUUCUUAUUCUGUUUUUUUUUUAAAUCAGAAUUUCAGAAUAAAAAUUUUAAAAAUCAAAAAGCAUUCAAAAUUUAAGAAGAAAAUAUGAAAAAUACAAUUUUUAAAAAUUGAUUUUUUUCUAAAAUUGUAUAGUAUUAAAGUAGAAUCUCUACUAGAAUUAUGUCCUUACCUUUUGAAAUUAUUUACAGUGUUAUGUCACUCUUUUAUUUAGACUUUUAAAAUUUAUUUUGCCACCUAUUACUCAUCCAGUCAGUUUAUCCCAUUUUAAACCAUUUAGAAAUCUCAACAAAACUAAAGGCCCAUCUAGACCACUCGAUUUUCUUGCUCAAUAGCUCAUUUUUAAUUGGUUCUGUUAGUUUCCUAUCGUAAGUGAUUUCCUUUUUUUAUUUUUGGCAAAAUGAUGUCUAUAUAUAAAGGGCUUAUUUGUGAUAUAACCAAAAAAAAAGUAAAAUUAAUUUUGUAGAAAGAGGUUAGAGAGAGAUAGGAAGAGAGAAGAGGAGAGAGGAUGUGAUUUUGGUUAUAUAAUGAAUUAUGGGUUUUUGUUUGGUUAUAUCACCUAAUUUUCCAUAUAAAAUUCAAAAACAACCAAUUUUUACUCAGUAAACAAAUAUGUAUUCUAAUCCCCAAACCACAAAAUACAUACCCUAAUCCAUUUGUAUAACAUUAUGCUACUUUUUGAUGUACAUCAUCACAACUCUGUUUCGAACAAAGAUAAACCUGAAAUUUUUUUUUAAUAAAAAAGUAAUGUUUAAUAUUUGUGUUGACUAUAAUUUUCCUAGAUAACUUAAGCAACUAAUUAUACCAUUUUAAUUGUAAACUAAAUGGUCUUGACGGCCCAAUGGUCUUGAGGGAGCUUUCGGCCCAAUAAGGAUCCGAGUUCGAAUUCUCCUAGUCAUCGUCGAUUAAAAUGAGGUAAAAAAGGCAGCCCUCCAGAAUAUCUUCUGCGGAGGUGUACUUAGACGCUAGUCGAGUUUUCUCUGGGGUGUCCAGAUUACAUGGAUUAUCAAAAAAAAAAAACUAAAUGGUUAAAAUAUUUCUGUUAAUUAGUAUAUUCUCCUAUAUAUUGAAUGAGAAGUCAAUUAAGUGAUUUUUUGCUUAUGUGUCAAUCAUAGAGAGAAUUUAAGAAAAAAUGUUAUAACUUGAUUGGUUGAGAGAGUUUCAAUUAUUUUAAUUUGAUUUAAAAUAUAAGGUAAGUCUAGAACUAAUUAGUGUCACUUACCAAAUAAUCUAAAUGAUAUUACAAAUAAUAAUUUAUAGUAACUAAUUUUCAAAAUUAUAAAAAGUGUAAUAAUGCUUGAUUAAUUUCUAUUGUAUCUAUAUACAACAUAAAAUAAUUAAUAGAACACAAUUUAUCGAAAUCGAUAUAACGAUUUAAUAUUUUUUAAUAUAAAACAUUAUAUUCACAUAGUAUUAUAAUAAGCAUUAAUUAAUGUAUUACAAUGUCCAUAUGUGUCUUAUAAGUCUUUUAUUAAAAAUAUUAUAAAAUUAUUUAUCAGGGCUUACAAAAUUAUUUUAUCAUAAUUUUAAAUUAUUUAUAAGAAUUUAUAAAACAUUUAUGAAAAAUAUAAAUACGCAUAUAUAUUUAAAAAAGUCACUUAAGUGACUUUGGCUUACAUGUCGAUCAUUUGUGAAGUCUUAAGAAAAUUGUAAUAAUUUUUUUGGUCGAUAAUUUUUAAUUUUAUUUAUUUUAGUUUAGAUUGGACGGUUAAUUAAUAGAACACAAUUUAUAGAAAUCAAUAUAAUGAUUUCAUAUUCAUAUAAAAAUUAUAAUCAUAUAUUUUAAUAUUAUUAAUCUCUUAUAUCGUCCAUAUAUGCUUUAUAAAUAAUUAGGUUUCAAAGAUUGGCCGAAUUAUAUUGAACGAAACAUGUGAGAACUUUGAUUAAAAAUUAUUUUGCAUUUAAAUAAAUUAAAAAGUGAAUAAGGUAAUGCUAUGAUUGAAAAGAAUUAUAAGAUGGAGUUUUAGUUUAUUGAUUGUAUAAUAUGUAUUUCUAUUUAGAGAGAAAAAUAAAUAUUUGACAAAAAAUAAGUAAAAAUUUAGGAAAACAUUAGCAAAAAUUAAUUAAAAAAAAUAGGCUGAAGAAUAUGUAUAAUAUAUGUAGGAGAAGUAAAUAUUGUAUUUAAAUAUAUAAUUUCAUAAACAUUUGUUAUUACUAAAUAUUUAUCAGUUGUUUUUACAUCAAAUUUAUGGAAAAUUUUCGAAAUUUUAUAUAUAAUAUAUAUUUAUAUAAUAUUUAUAUCUACGAAUUCGCGGACAACCAUCUAGUAUAUAUAUAAAGUACAAAGUAUGAAAAUUGAUAAUCUUAUAUAAUAAAACAGGGUUUUCUCUCACCUCCUUGCGCCACGUCAGUACAGUGGGAGGGGCAAAUCCCGACACGUGUUGCCAUACCAAAGCCUCUGCGAUUUGUUUACUUCAGCUGUUCUGUAAUUGAGUGUUUGAGAGCUGGGCUUUUAUUAAAAUGAAUAGGUUAGGCCCGUACCUUUAGCCCAUUUAGAGACUCAAUUGAUAUUAAGGUUCGUCGUCGUCUUCCUCUUUCACAUGCGACCUCCGCGUUGAUCCGAAAUCUGUAACGUCUCCCCGAGGCAGGAUGACUUUUUGGUUAUCUUGAUAAAGUAUCUGAAUACAAUAAGCUCCAUGUAACCAGGUCUGAUCCUUGAUCAAAACUCCUGAUUGUUAUUAUAUUAAUUCCAUUAUCAACUUUCGUUCCUAUCAUGAAACCAACGAAAAGGUUUCAAUCGCAAUCAUCGCCACCAUGACUGUGCUAUCAUCUACAGAUCGAGGUUCGCUAUCAUCUCUUUUCUCUAAUGGUUUGCAUGUUGCGUUCUCAUGAUUCAUCUAUUUUCGCUUGCUGGUUUGAUCUUUUGUUAUCUUGUCAUGUUUCAUUUCUGGAGAAUUGGUUGAGUUUUCAUUCGUCGAUCACCUGAUAUACCAAGUAAUAUGAUUGGUUCUGUCAAUGAAAUUGUGUUUUUGAUUCCGAGAAUUUUGCGAUUUCUAAUUCUUAGAUUGCUUUCAUUUGUAGAUCAUACAAGGGAUUCAUGAUUGCAUAGACUUAUGGAAUCAGAACUGUAUAGGAAAUGAAAUCUUAUUGAGUUUGUGAAUGAAUUGUAGAUAACGCUGAGAAGAAGGUGAAGAGUUCGUAUUUUGAUUUGCCGGCUAUGAACGUAUUCGUUGCAUUUCCUCAAGCAACUCCAGCCUCUAAGUUCCCAACGUGCAGUAAGGAUUUUUUUCAGAGAAUAUACAUUUUUUGUUAUGUUUUGUUGUGCUUUUGCUUCAAUCUGUGUGUUUGUAUACUUUAUUACAGCUUCAGACUAUUAUCAUUUCAGUGAACUAUUGACUCCAGAGGAGCAGGCUGUGCGGAAGAGUGAGGGAGUUCAUGGAGAAAGAAGUUGCCCCCAUUAUGACAGAGGUUUGUCUAUCUUUGUGUUUGUUUGUUUGUUUACUUUGAUAUUAUCAUUGCGUGACAUCAUCCUUCUUUCUUUGAUUUUUACUCAUCAAUACUGGGAGAAGGCAGAGUUUCCGUUCCAUAUCAUUCCAAAGCUUGGAGCUUUAGGUGUUGUUGGUGGCUCUAUUAAGGGUUAUGGCUGUCCUGGCCACAUCACAGCCAAUGCCAUUGCAACAGCAGAGAUAUCUAGAGUUGAUGCAAGCUGUGGGACUUUUAAUUUGGUCCUUAGCUUGGAGAAGGUUCCAUCUCAAGACAUAGACUGAUAUUCAAUUAAUGAUCCCACAUCAAUCAGCUAAAGACCUGCAUGUAUAUCUUCAUUAUCUCAUUUGUUAUUAUAACAGAUUGUGGAGUUCCUUGGCACUGGAGAAGUUGUUAGAAUUAAAACUACUAAUGGGUGGUGCCUGCCCGUGGAUUCUCUUCCUUCACAUGUUCAUUGUGCCAUAACGCCAGCGCAGUUGGGGGAUCUCAGUUUAUCAAACUUUAGGUUCUAAACUCAUCACUACCAAACAAUAUCAACACUGUUAUGCAGGUACCUAAGGAUGUCUGCACCGUCAAGAAGCCUCACAAUGGUUAGCUUCGCAUCAUUGGGAGUGUCCAAGCCUAAUGCCCAUUCAUGCUCCUUUUGUUUCUAAUUUUCUUCUAAGUUUGAAUAACAUGUUUAGCAAGUCCCUUCCUCUCUGAAUUUUUUUGUGUGGUCAACUUUUCGGAAUAUUUUCUAUGUUUAAUCUUCUCAAAAA
This is a long non-coding RNA of Brassica napus (rape), 7305 nucleotides long. RefSeq lists it as uncharacterized. The transcript is spliced from 2 exons. The record is from RefSeq and is a predicted model, not a curated record. Lineage: Eukaryota; Viridiplantae; Streptophyta; Magnoliopsida; Brassicales; Brassicaceae.